GCUUGCGUCGUUGGUCUCGGAUGUUGCUCACGAUAAUGGCUCUUCGCCCAUUUGGUUGCCUUGACCCGACCCAAAGCUCUUCGUGCUGAGAACAACCGGAACUAGGGUUGCCUCUACCUCUCCACAGUUACGUGGUAGGAUACGCAACUCUCUGCGCCGAUCCUCACGAACGAUGAGCUAUGCCCGCUCAAAAGCGACAACCGGCCUGGCUGUUGCCUCUCCGUAUGUAUGCAAGUGGAACCGGAGGACGACAACCAAUGCU
This 262-nucleotide long non-coding RNA is filed under the name Hordeum vulgare. RNAcentral's name for it is "long non-coding RNA (HVUL_LNC011635)". The record is from RNAcentral. Lineage: Eukaryota; Viridiplantae; Streptophyta; Magnoliopsida; Poales; Poaceae.